CCUACGGGAGGCAGCAGUAGGGAAUAUUGCUCAAUGGGGGAAACCCUGAAGCAGCAACGCCGCGUGGAGGAUGAAGGUUUUCGGAUUGUAAACCCCUUUUGUUAGAGAAGAUAAUGACGGUAUCUAACGAAUAAGCACCGGCUAACUCCGUGCCAGCAGCCGCGGUAAUACGGAGGGUGCAAGCGUUACUCGGAAUCACUGGGCGUAAAGGGCGCGUAGGCGGGAUAGCAAGUCAGAUGUGAAAUCCUAUGGCUUAACCAUAGAACUGCAUUUGAAACUGUUAUUCUAGAGUAUGGGAGAGGUAGGUGGAAUUCUUGGUGUAGGGGUGAAAUCCGUAGAGAUCAAGAGGAAUACUCAUUGCGAAGGCGACCUGCUAGAACAUAACUGACGCUGAUGCGCGAAAGCGUGGGGAGCAAACAGGAUUAGAUACCCCAGUAGUC
This 440-nucleotide ribosomal RNA is filed under the name uncultured bacterium. Its description in RNAcentral is "partial 16S ribosomal RNA". It matches the Rfam family "Bacterial small subunit ribosomal RNA", at positions 338 to 795 of the family's 1533-position model. The record is from RNAcentral.